UGUCGAUGAAGAGCGCAGCCAACUGUGUGAAUUAAUGUGAACUGCAGACUGCCUUGAGCAUCGAUUACUUGAACGCAUAUUGCGACAGCAGGCCAUGCCUGUUGCCUCGUCUGACCGAGAGUCG
This 124-nucleotide ribosomal RNA is filed under the name Kannaphallus raphidium. RNAcentral's name for it is "partial 5.8S ribosomal RNA". It matches the Rfam family "5.8S ribosomal RNA", at positions 33 to 154 of the family's 154-position model. Rfam says of the family: 5.8S ribosomal RNA (5.8S rRNA) is a component of the large subunit of the eukaryotic ribosome. It is transcribed by RNA polymerase I as part of the 45S precursor that also contains 18S and 28S rRNA. Functionally, it is thought that 5.8S rRNA may be involved in ribosome translocation. Lineage: Eukaryota; Metazoa; Platyhelminthes; Monogenea; Mazocraeidea; Heteraxinidae. The record is from RNAcentral.